This 1167-nucleotide long non-coding RNA is filed under the name Numida meleagris (helmeted guineafowl). RNAcentral's name for it is "lncRNA (ENSNMEG00000007572.1)". Lineage: Eukaryota; Metazoa; Chordata; Aves; Galliformes; Numididae. The record is from RNAcentral.
CUGCUUCUUGGGGACCAGCUGGGCAUCAUCGGUCAGUGGCUGGUGAGCAAUAGCUUGUUCAUUACUUGUUUUUUAUGUGUAUACAUAUAUAAAAUUACCAUUGCUAUUAUCUGUUUUUUUCCUUGUCUUUGUAUAGUUUUUUAUCUCAACCCAUGAGAGCUGCUUUCUUGUUUUGGAUUCAGUUCUCUCCUCCAUCUCCCCAAUUGGAGGGUGGAGAGUGAGUGAAUGAUGGUGUGGUGCUUAGCUACCUGCCAGGGUAAACCACAACACAGUCUGUAUCAGCAGGAAAGGAGCCUAGUCCUUCUAUUUUCACGACAGAAAAUUAAAUAUAUAUUUAUAUAUUUUCUUCUCCAGCUAAAAUAUAAAUUAUUAUUACAUUGGGGCCUAUAGAAUAGGAGGCAUAGGAUGAGUAGAGAUUUCUUUGUCUUGACUGAAUGGUUUUCAAAAAAAAAAAAAAAAAUAACACUGAGCACUUACAGAAAGGGAUUUCUAUAUAUAAAGCUCUUAGAACCAGUAAUGAGCUUUCAUGACCUAUACAAAUGUAUUGUUUGAAUUGUAUUUCUGAUUAGCUAUGAGUCUGACUAAUUGCUAGGGUGUUGAUUAUAGAGGAGGAAGAAAGUCUUUGUAUUAGUAGAGACUUUUUCAGAGCUAUAUCUUUUUCAAUGCUGCUAACAGACAAUUUUGUCAUUCUUUGUCUUUUCUUGUUCUCAAAGCUGCACUGUAGCAGCAAACCGGAAGACCACUUUUCCUUUAAUAAUGGAUAAAGGAUUUCUGAGGCUAUGUUUUUGAGUGGAAUGUACAACAAAACUCUACCUCAACAUACAGGGAAAGUGAGUGGCUCUCUGGUACUGAGCUGCCUGAUGGAGUUAAACCACAACACAUAUGUAAGUAUUAUUAUCAAGAAAAAAUCAUCUGGCAAAAACAACUGUUACAAAGUUAAUUCUCAUUAAUUCCAAACAUAUAUGAAAUUUAUAGUAUGAUAUAUUAUGAUAUCAUGUUUUUGUCAAUUCACCAACAACUUGAAAACAUUUUCAUAUUAUUUAUUCAAUGAUUGUAACUCAACAAUUAGCUACAACUUUUAGCAAAAGAAAAAUGAAAGAGCAAGUUAAAGCGUAUUUUGUAACUCACAUAUUACUCUGCAGUUUGAGAUCAGUUGUCAGCCAUAUG